RNAcentral lists this ribosomal RNA (256 nucleotides) under uncultured bacterium. RNAcentral's name for it is "partial 16S ribosomal RNA". It matches the Rfam family "Bacterial small subunit ribosomal RNA", at positions 524 to 777 of the family's 1533-position model. The record is from RNAcentral.
UACGUAGGUGGCAAGCGUUGUCCGGAAUUAUUGGGCGUAAAGCGCGCGCAGGUGGUUCUUUAAGUCUGAUGUGAAAGCCCCCCGGCUCAACCGGGGAGGGUCAUUGGAAACUGGGGGAACUUAGUGCAGAAGAGGAUAGUGGAAUUCCAAGUGUAGCGGUGAAAUGCGUAGAGAUUUGGAGGAACACCAGUGGCGAAGGCGACUGUCUGGUCUGUAACUGACACUGAGGCGCGAAAAGCGUGGGGAGCAAACAGGG